RNAcentral lists this ribosomal RNA (539 nucleotides) under fungal sp. SNB-LD4.3.1. RNAcentral's name for it is "partial large subunit ribosomal RNA". Lineage: Eukaryota; Fungi. The record is from RNAcentral.
CUACCUGAUCCGAGGUCAACCUUUGGAAAAUUGGGGGGUUUUACGGCAAGAGUCCCUCCGGAUCCCAGUGCGAGACGUAAAGUUACUACGCAAAGGAGGCUCCGGGAGGGUCCGCCACUACCUUUGAGGGCCUACAUCAGCUGUAGGGCCCCAACACCAAGCAGAGCUUGAGGGUUGAAAUGACGCUCGAACAGGCAUGCCCGCCAGAAUGCUGGCGGGCGCAAUGUGCGUUCAAAGAUUCGAUGAUUCACUGAAUUCUGCAAUUCACAUUACUUAUCGCAUUUCGCUGCGUUCUUCAUCGAUGCCAGAACCAAGAGAUCCGUUGUUAAAAGUUUUGAUUAUUUGCUUGUACCACUCAGAAGAAACGUCGUUAAAUCAGAGUUUGGUUAUCCUCCGGCGGGCGCCGACCCGCCCGGGGGGGCGGGAGGCCGGGAGGGUCACGGGGACCCUACCCGCCGAAGCAACAGUUGUAGGUAUGUUCACAAAGGGUUGUAGAGCGUAAACUCAGUAAUCAUCCCUCCGCAGGUUCACCUACGGAA